RNAcentral lists this ribosomal RNA (433 nucleotides) under uncultured bacterium. Its description in RNAcentral is "partial 16S ribosomal RNA". It matches the Rfam family "Bacterial small subunit ribosomal RNA", at positions 29 to 507 of the family's 1533-position model. The record is from RNAcentral.
AACGAACGCUGGCGGCAGGCUUAAUACAUGCAAGUCGAACGCACCUUUCGGGGUGAGUGGCAGACGGGUGAGUAACGCGUGGGAAUCUACCCUUCUCUACGGGAUAGCUCCGGGAAACUGGAAUUAAUACCGUAUACGUCCUGAGGGAGAAAGAUUUAUCGGGGAAGGAUGAGCCCGCGUUGGAUUAGCUAGUUGGUGGGGUAAAGGCCUACCAAGGCGACGAUCCAUAGCUGGUCUAAGAGGAUGAUCAGCCACAUUGGGACUGAGACACGGCCCAAACUCCUACGGGAGGCAGCAGUGGGGAAUAUUGGACAAUGGGCGCAAGCCUGAUCCAGCCAUGCCGCGUGAGUGAUGAAGGCCCUAGGGUUGUAAAGCUCUUUCAGUGGGGACGAUAAUGACGGUACCCACAGAAGAAGCCCCGGCUAACUUCGUG